AGUGAACGCUGGCGGCAGGCCUAACACAUGCAAGUCGAGCGGCAGCGGGUUCCCGCGAGGGGAUGCCGGCGAGCGGCGGACGGGUGAGGAACACAUCGGAAUCUGCCUGGUUGUGGGGGAUAACGUAGGGAACUUACGCUAAUACCGCAUGCGACCCUGAGUCGACGGACUGGGGGUGAAAGUGAGGGACCGUUCGGCCGUCACGCGACCAGAUGAGCCGAUGUCGG
Molecule: ribosomal RNA, 227 nt
Filed under: uncultured bacterium
Lineage: Bacteria
Description: partial 16S ribosomal RNA
Rfam family: Bacterial small subunit ribosomal RNA
Source: RNAcentral